Molecule: ribosomal RNA, 401 nt
Filed under: uncultured bacterium
Lineage: Bacteria
Description: bacterial SSU rRNA
Rfam family: Bacterial small subunit ribosomal RNA
Source: RNAcentral
UCGGGAAUUUUGGGCAAUGGGCGAAAGCCUGACCCAGCAACGCCGCGUGAGGGAUGAAGUAUUUCGGUAUGUAAACCUCGAAAGAAUGGGAAGAAUAAAUGACGGUACCAUUUAUAAGCUCCGGCUAACUACGUGCCAGCAGCCGCGGUAAUACGUAGGGAGCAAGCGUUGUUCGGAUUUACUGGGCGUAAAGGGCGCGUAGGCGGCGCGGUAAGUCACUUGUGAAAUCUCUGAGCUUAACUCAGAACGGCCAAGUGAUACUGCUGUGCUAGAGUGCGGAAGAGUUAACCGGAAUUCUUGGUGUAGCGGUGAAAUGCGUAGAUAUCAAGAGGAACACCUGAGGCGAAGGCGGGUUGCUGGGCCGACACUGACGCUGAUGCGCGAAAGCCAGGGGAGCAAAC